GAGUGGAGAUGGGAAUGGAUUCUGUAAAUCACCUCCUGGGCUGAGACGAGGGUGAGGGGGGCUCCCGACAUUCCAAGGGCCAGGGGUCUUUACUUUUGUCACUCCGAUUGUUACUUAAGUGGUUUACAGA
Long non-coding RNA from Cebus imitator (Panamanian white-faced capuchin), 130 nucleotides. RefSeq lists it as uncharacterized. The transcript is spliced from 3 exons. NCBI's taxonomy places the organism in Eukaryota, Metazoa, Chordata, Mammalia, Primates, Cebidae. The record is from RefSeq and is a predicted model, not a curated record.